RNAcentral lists this transfer RNA (68 nucleotides) under Paragonimus kellicotti. Its description in RNAcentral is "tRNA-Pro". The record is from RNAcentral. Lineage: Eukaryota; Metazoa; Platyhelminthes; Trematoda; Plagiorchiida; Troglotrematidae.
CAGCAAAGUAGUCUAUUUUUAAGGAUGCGAGUUUUGGGGACUUGUGGUCCCCUUUAGGGGCUUGUUGA